UCGGAAUUAGAUCAUAAGGGAAUUUCUAUCUACACUGGGACUAUAAUAUCAGAUUGGGGGGGGAGAUCGGAACUAGCAAUUGAUAAAAAAGAAAGGGUAUGGGCUCGCGUGAGUAGAAAACAAAAGAUAUCUAUUCUAGUUCUAUCAUCAGCUAUGGGUUUGAAUCUAGGAGAAAUUCUAGAUAAUGUUUCCUACCCUGAAAUUUUCUUGUCUUUCCCGAAUGCUAAGGAGAAGAAAAGGAUUGAGUCAAAAGAAAAAGCUAUUUUGGAGUUUUAUCAACAAUUUGCUUGUGUAGGUGGGGAUCUGGUAUUUUCGGAGUCCUUAUAUGAGGAAUUAAAAAAAAUAAUUCAACAAAAAUGUGAAUUAGGAAGGAUUGGUCGACGAAAUAUGAAUCGGAGACUUAAUCUUGAUAUACCUCAGAACAAUACAUUCUUGUUACCACGAGAUGUAUUGGUCAUCCGAACACGAGACGAAGUCUUCAAUCUUGUAUCUUCGAUACUUGACGAUGACGAAAUGAAUCACUUGAAAAAUAAACAUAUCCGUUCGGUUGCAGAUUUGUUACAAGAUCAAUUCGGAUUGGCUCUUGGUCGUUUACAACAUGCAGUUCAAAAAACUAUUCGUAGAGUAUUCAUACGUCAAUCGAAACCGACUCCCCAAACUUUGGUAACUCCAACUUCAACUUCAAUUUUAUUAAUAACUGUCGGCAUCCCUAAUAAUUCAGGGCCUCUAUCAUUUCAUUUCUGA
Molecule: ribosomal RNA, 744 nt
Filed under: Triticum aestivum (bread wheat)
Lineage: Eukaryota; Viridiplantae; Streptophyta; Magnoliopsida; Poales; Poaceae
Description: partial small subunit ribosomal RNA
Source: RNAcentral